This 789-nucleotide ribosomal RNA is filed under the name uncultured archaeon. RNAcentral describes it as "bacterial SSU rRNA". It matches the Rfam family "Archaeal small subunit ribosomal RNA", at positions 85 to 876 of the family's 1478-position model. The record is from RNAcentral.
ACUGCUCAGUAACACGUAGUCAACAUGCCCAGGGGACGUGGAUAACCUCGGGAAACUGAGGAUAAACCGCGAUAGGCCAAGGUUUCUGGAAUGGACACUGGCUGAAACCUACAUGGCCCCUGGAUUGGACUGCGGCCGAUCAGGCUGUUGGUGAGGUAAUGGCCCACCAAACCUGUAACCGGUACGGGCUUUGAGAGAAGGAGCCCGGAGAUGGGCACUGAGACAAGGGCCCAGGCCCUAUGGGGCGCAGCAGGCGCGAAACCUCUGCAAUAGGCGAAAGCUUGACAGGGUUACUCUGAGUGAUGCCCGCUAAGGGCAUCUUUUGGCACCUCUAAAAAUGGUGCAGAAUAAGGGGUGGGCAAGUCUGGUGUCAGCCGCCGCGGUAAUACCAGCACCCCGAGUGGUCGGGACGAUUAUUGGGCCUAAAGCAUCCGUAGUUUGUUCUGCAAGUCCUCCGUUAAAUCCACCUGCUCAACAGAUGGGCUGCGGGGGAUACUACAGGGCUAGGAGGCGGGAGAGGCAAACGGUACUCAGUGGGUAGGGGUAAAAUCCUCUGAUCCACUGAAGACCACCAGUGGCGAAGGCGGUUUGCCAGAACGCGCUCGACGGUGAGGGAUGAAAGCUGGGGGAGCAAACCGGAUUAGAUACCCGGGUAGUCCCAGCUGUAAACGAUGCAGACUCGGUGAUGGGUUGGCUUUGAGCCAACCCAGUGCCGCAGGGAAGCCGUUAAGUCUGCCGCCUGGGGGAGUACGGUCGCAAGACUGAAACUUAAAGGAAUUGGCGGGGGAG